AGCGAACGCUGGCGGCAGGCCUAACACAUGCAAGUCGAACGGACCCUUCGGGGUUAGUGGCGGACGGGUGAGUAACACGUGGGAACGUGCCUUUAGGUUCGGAAUAGCUCCUGGAAACGGGUGGUAAUGCCGAAUGUGCCCUUCGGGGGAAAGAUUUAUCGCCUUUAGAGCGGCCCGCGUCUGAUUAGCUAGUUGGUGAGGGAACGGCUCACCAAGGCGACGAUCAGUAGCUGGUCUGAGAGGAUGACCAGCCACACUGGGACUGAGACACGGCCCAGACUCCGACGGGAGGCAGCAGUGGGGAAUCUUGCGCAAUGGGCGAAAGCCUGACGCAGCCAUGCCGCGUGAAUGAUGAAGGUCUUAGGAUUGUAAAAUUCUUUCACCGGGGACGAUAAUGACGGUACCCGGAGAAGAAGCCCCGGCUAACUUCGUG
This 433-nucleotide ribosomal RNA is filed under the name uncultured bacterium. RNAcentral describes it as "partial 16S ribosomal RNA". It matches the Rfam family "Bacterial small subunit ribosomal RNA", at positions 29 to 507 of the family's 1533-position model. The record is from RNAcentral.